AUCACUCGGCUAGCUGCGAGAACUAAUGUGAAUUGCAGGACACAUUGAUCAUCGACACUUCGAACGCACUUUGCGGCCCCAGGUUCCUCCUGGGGCUACGUCUGUCUGAGGGUC
RNAcentral lists this ribosomal RNA (114 nucleotides) under Salmo salar (Atlantic salmon). Its description in RNAcentral is "5.8S ribosomal RNA". It matches the Rfam family "5.8S ribosomal RNA", at positions 40 to 153 of the family's 154-position model. From Rfam's summary of the family: 5.8S ribosomal RNA (5.8S rRNA) is a component of the large subunit of the eukaryotic ribosome. It is transcribed by RNA polymerase I as part of the 45S precursor that also contains 18S and 28S rRNA. Functionally, it is thought that 5.8S rRNA may be involved in ribosome translocation. Lineage: Eukaryota; Metazoa; Chordata; Actinopteri; Salmoniformes; Salmonidae. The record is from Rfam by way of RNAcentral.